RNAcentral lists this long non-coding RNA (345 nucleotides) under Anas platyrhynchos platyrhynchos (common mallard). RNAcentral's name for it is "lncRNA (ENSAPLG00000020946.1)". The record is from RNAcentral. Lineage: Eukaryota; Metazoa; Chordata; Aves; Anseriformes; Anatidae.
GAGCUUUGAAGUGCACGCAGUUCUGUGAUGAGGUUACUAGGAAAGCCUUUUACUGAUUUAUUUAAAAUUCUCUUUAUUUCUGCUUUAUUCUCUCAUUACAUUUGCUUUGGAAGAGACAUCAGAGGUCAAGAUGGUUUCACCUCUGAGCUAAGAAGUAACCUGCGUGGUGAGCUGUACCUCACACAGAAAAGAGCAGAUCAUCCCAAGGAUGGGCUGUAACUGUGAUGGCCUCAUGCUGAACCUUUACCAGUAUGGGUUUGCAGCCAUUAACCAGCAGGUAGGAGCCAGCCCCUGAUACUUGUGUGGUUCAUCUGCCAGUGCCUGUCAUCUCCCCUGGCUCACAUC